Molecule: ribosomal RNA, 497 nt
Filed under: uncultured bacterium
Lineage: Bacteria
Description: partial 16S ribosomal RNA
Rfam family: Bacterial small subunit ribosomal RNA
Source: RNAcentral
GACGAACGCUGGCGGCGUGCCUAAUACAUGCCAGUUGAGCGAUGAAGAUUGGUGCUUGCACCAAUUUGAAGAGCAGCGAACGGGUGAGUAACGCGUGGGGAAUCUGCCUUUGAGCGGGGGACAACAUUUGGAAACGAAUGCUAAUACCGCAUAACAACUUUAAACAUAAGUUUUAAGUUUGAAAGAUGCAAUUGCAUCACUCAAAGAUGAUCCCGCGUUGUAUUAGCUAGUUGGUGAGGUAAAGGCUCACCAAGGCGAUGAUACAUAGCCGACCUGAGAGGGUGAUCGGCCACAUUGGGACUGAGACACGGCCCAAACUCCUACGGGAGGCAGCAGUAGGGAAUCUUCAGCAAUGGACGAAAGUCUGACCGAGCAACGCCGCGUGAGUGAAGAAGGUUUUCGGAUCGUAAAACUCUGUUGGUAGAGAAGAACGUUGGUGAGAGUGGAAAGCUCAUCAAGUGACGGUAACUACCCAGAAAGGGACGGCUAACUACGUG